Molecule: long non-coding RNA, 803 nt
Filed under: Homo sapiens (human)
Lineage: Eukaryota; Metazoa; Chordata; Mammalia; Primates; Hominidae
Description: HSALNT0020375
Source: RNAcentral
CUUUCUUUCUCUUUCUCUGUUUCUUUCAGGGUCUCAUGGGUCUCUGUCACCCAGGCUGGAGUGCAGUGGCACGAUCUCCACCUCUUGGGUUCAAGCAAUUCUCCUGCCUCAGCCUCCCAAGUUGCUGGGACUACAGGUGUAUGCCACCAUGCCAGGCUAAUUUUUGUAUUUUUAGUAGAGAUGGGGUUUCACCAUGUUGGCCAGCUAGUCUUGAACUCCUGGCCUCAAGCGAUCCACCCGUCUCAGCCUCCCAAAGUGCUGAGAUUACAGGUGUGAGCCACCGCGCCUGGACUAAUGUUGGAACAUUUCAUUUUGUACUGGACCCUGCAAGCUAUGUAGACAGUCCUGCCUUCACUUCUUCACUUUCCACCACGUCCUGAUGAGAAGGGAUGCAGAAGCCACCAAGCUUUUUGACCGUGAGGUGUCCAUCCAGGGCAGAGACUUGAUCUUUGGGUACAGUUCUUAGCAUAAGAUUCCAAGGACCAGAAAACCCCACAAGCAGCAAGGCAGCAUGGUAUGCUGGACAAAGCAUGGAUCAGAGGGCCGGAAAGCCUGGGUUCAGAUGUCUGAUGGUGCCCCUUCACUGUGUGGUCUUGGGAAAUUUCCCUCCCCUUUCUGAGUAUCUUUUUCCUCAUCUGUGAAAGGAACUGUCCCGGUCUUCACAGAGCCGCUGAUAGCUUAAGCGAGUCCUGUGUGUAACGUGCAGGCUUGAGUGAGCUAUCCCUCCUUCUUGUGCCUCAGUCUUCUCUAUUGCACAAAGAGGGAGCUGGAGGAGAUGGUUCUGGACGGCCAAUUCCUUCCAG